Long non-coding RNA from Triticum aestivum (bread wheat), 1657 nucleotides. RefSeq lists it as uncharacterized. The record is from RefSeq and is a predicted model, not a curated record. The transcript is spliced from 3 exons. Lineage: Eukaryota; Viridiplantae; Streptophyta; Magnoliopsida; Poales; Poaceae.
GCUUCUCCUUCCUAGACCCGUGGGAGCUGAAGAGAACCUUUCUCCAAUCGAAACGUCUUCCCUGGGAUCGCUCCUCAUAAGACGGCCUCCCCGUCUCCCAUCUCCCCAUCUCAAACCCCACGCGGUGGUGGACGCACUAGAAGUCUAGAAACCAACCUCCUCUAGGGUUUGGGGCCGUCAUCGGCGAUACAAACGGCGGCGAGCCUUGCGGGCCAAGGGCAGGAUCACAAGACGAUCAAUCUGGAGGAUGGGUGGACAUGCAGAAGGGCAUCAACAUCCUUGAGGGCAAGCAAGAGCCGCAGUACAUGUUCGAGGAUUACAUGAUGCGCUCUGCAUGUACAAAUCGCCUCCAUCCGACCAUGGCUAGCUUAUGCCCGAUUCGAUCUGUUCUGAACUACAGAUUAGUCCCCUGUUUUGUGGGUGUAUGUAUGUCGGCGCUGUUGGUUUUCCGGUCCAGUGAGUCAAGGCGGAUCUGAUUGUCUUUUUAUUUCCAACAUGCUCUGACGGGUGUGCAUUUGUGGAUUUUUUGGAUUCAGGUCAGUUUAUUUGGAUCCAUGGGCCAAACAAACAGCAUCAGGAAGCUGGAAAACUGAACCCUUCAUUCCGACAGCUUGGAGGAAUGCUGGAUCCAGCCCCCAUCUUUGUUGUGUUGUAUAUAGAUCUGCUCUCACUUGCGUAUAUGAGGUGAGCAUUCAACAAUCUCUGAUCUUCUAGCAUGGCAAUGGUGUUUUUUGGCCACCUGACUCUGCAGCUAGGGAGGAAGACAUCUAGGUUGCUCCUUUCUAUCAGUGAUAAGCUUACAAGCAGGGACAACGACGAUGUUUCUGAAAUUCAAGGUGUUGUGGCCUGUUCACCUGCUAUUGUAAUUUCCUUGACGGUAAUUAAAUAGAUGAAUUAAUCCAGUAGUUAUGAGCUCAGUUCCUCCUGGACAGCCGGGCCAAACUGACCAAUUUCUCUCCUCUUCUCGCCUUAACUUGUGGCGAGAGGUGCAGCUUGAAAGAGUAGUUACAAACUAAUAAAUUAACGGGCAUCCGAGGAGACACAUUAUGUACUUUAUUAUACAAAUGUAUUCUCCUAGCGCCAGUUGAUUUUCUUAUGCCACUCCUCCCUUGUGUACAUUCUUUUGUCCCCAGAUAGUUUAUGAAUUACUUGCAUUUUUACCAUACUUAAAAAAAAUAGCUUAGAAACAAAAUAGUCGCACAUACAUGGAUCCAACAUCCAAAUUUAUUUCUUUUACAUUCAGCUAUAGCUAUGCUGAUUUUGAUGCACUCUUUUCAUGUAUUUAACAUGCAAGUGUUAUCAUUGAAAGGCUUCUUCGUUUCUAAUUCGUUGUAUUAACACUACUGUUUCCGGUCUAUGCAAGCAUCUAUAUUCUUUGAAAGAUAUGUUUGCCGGAAGUGUUUUGAUGGACAGGAGGUCACUGUUUAUUUUUUACAUGGUUUAUUUCUCCACACUAAAACAUUUAGCAAUAAAAAUUUCCCGCAGCAACGCGCGGGGAAUCAUCUAGUAUAGAGAAACUUAGAUAAUUGUAUUGAUCUUCUCCGCACUAGCUUACAAAAUACAAAAUACAAGUCUGGAGAAGAGUUUGCCCAAGCCAUCUAGGGUUAGGGAAGGAAUUCGAGAGGAGAUCUCUCGGCAGUAUAGAAAACUCUUCUUC